AUACGUAGGUGACAAGCGUUAUCCGGAUUUACUGGGCGUAAAGGGCGUGUAGGCGGUCUUGCAAGUCUGAUGUGAAAGCCCGCGGCUCAACUGCGGGACUGCAUUGGAAACUGGUCAUCUGGAGUGCAGGAGGGGUAAGCGGAAUUCCUAGUGGAGCGGUGAAAUGCGUAGAUAUUAGGAGGAACACCGGUGGCGAAGGCGGCUUACUGGACUGUAACUGACGUUGAGGCUCGAAAGCGUGGGGAGCAAACAGGAUUAGAUACCCUGGUAGUCCACGCCGUAAACGAUGAGUGCUAGGUGUUGGGGGUCAAACCUCGGUGCCGCAGUUAACACAUUAAGCACUCCGCCUGGGGAGUACGUGCGCAAGCAUGAAACUUAAAGGAAUUGACGGGG
This 393-nucleotide ribosomal RNA is filed under the name uncultured bacterium. Its description in RNAcentral is "partial 16S ribosomal RNA". It matches the Rfam family "Bacterial small subunit ribosomal RNA", at positions 523 to 918 of the family's 1533-position model. The record is from RNAcentral.